This 1257-nucleotide long non-coding RNA is filed under the name Homo sapiens (human). Its description in RNAcentral is "long non-coding RNA NONHSAT189002.1". Lineage: Eukaryota; Metazoa; Chordata; Mammalia; Primates; Hominidae. The record is from RNAcentral.
CUCCCUUCCCCAUCUCUGCUCACCAUGUGGACGCUGAAAUCGUCCCUGGUCCUGCUUCUGUGCCUCACCUGCAGCUAUGCCUUUAUGUUCUCUUCUCUGAGACAGAAAACUAGCGAACCCCAGGGGAAGGUGCCGUGUGGAGAGCACUUUCGGAUUCGGCAGAACCUACCAGAGCACACCCAAGGCUGGCUUGGGAGCAAAUGGCUCUGGCUUUUGUUUGCUGUUGUGCCGUUUGUGAUACUGCAGUGUCAAAGAGACAGUGAGAAGAAUAAGGUUCACAGGAAGUUGCAAAGGUGGCACUGAGAGGUCCCGUGUGCUCUUCACCCAGUUUCCUCCUGUGGUUGCGUCUUAGUUGUACAGAACUUCAUUGUGUGAACGUGCCAUAGUUUACACAGCUGUGCUCUCAGAUAUGAACACGCAGGGAGCAUCCAAACAUUUGAAAUGACAAACAACAGUGCAGGGCCUAACCUUGUGCCUGUGUAUUUUGGUAUUGCUGAAGCUGUAAUUUCAGGGUAGAUACCUAGAAGAGUGAUCGUAGGUUAGAAAGAUCCCAGGUACCGAACUGAAGAUGGUAGAGGAAAAGUUUUUCCUGCUUAACAUAUUCAACUCUCUACCCUCAAUAUAUUUGGCUGUUAUUAUUCUGGUUUACAUGUAUCAUAAUUUAACCAGUUCCCUACUGGUGGAUGUCUAGGUUUCCCCGAUGUUUUGCUAUUAAAAACACACAUGGUACACGUUUUUCUAGAUCGGGCAGGGUUUGCCCAUCUCCACUUCAAGCAGCACAACCACCAUCUGCCAGUGUUGGGGUUUACUCUACAGUCAGCAAACACUGUUGGCACAUCCAGUCAGAGAAACUGAAAACAGAAAGCAGAAAUGGCUUACACUGGACUAAUUUUAGAAUUUCUAAGUACAUUUAAGUGAUGACUCAUCCCACUUAAAUUCAAAGCUGUUUGUUGUGCCAUCUGGCUCAUCAGAACAUGAAAGACUUCUCCUGCAACCUGGAAAAAGGCCAGAGAGGAAGACGAAUGGAGGAGUCAACCCCAUGGGAAUGCUGACUGAGUGUUAGCUCCCCGUGGACAGGAAUGUCACUGCAUGAAUAGGCUGCAGUAUGUCUGGGCCUGUUUUUUUUUCAUAAAAUGUUCCCCCCCUGUUUUUUUCUUAUUCCAAAGCAAUGCAACAAAAAGCACAAGAAAUCAAAAAGGAAAAAAUAGAUAUUGGACUUCAUCAAAAUGAAAAACUUUUGUGCUUCAAAGGAAAUGG